Molecule: ribosomal RNA, 253 nt
Filed under: uncultured bacterium
Lineage: Bacteria
Description: partial 16S ribosomal RNA
Rfam family: Bacterial small subunit ribosomal RNA
Source: RNAcentral
GACGUAGGGCGCGAGCGUUGUCCGGAUUUAUUGGGCGUAAAGAGCUCGUAGGCGGCUUGUCGCGUCGACCGUGAAAACUUGGGGCUCAACUCCAAGCCUGCGGUCGAUACGGGCAGACUAGAGUUCGGUAGGGGAGACUGGAAUUCCUGGUGUAGCGGUGAAAUGCGCAGAUAUCGGGAGGAACACCAGUGGCGAAGGCGACUACCUGGCCUGUUCUUGACGCUGAGGCGCGAAAGCUAGGGGAGCAAACGGG